RNAcentral lists this small nuclear RNA (21 nucleotides) under Arabidopsis thaliana (thale cress). RNAcentral's name for it is "snRNA_02683". Lineage: Eukaryota; Viridiplantae; Streptophyta; Magnoliopsida; Brassicales; Brassicaceae. The record is from RNAcentral.
UACCCAAUCAACUUCAUCACC